GUAACACCGGCAGCCCGAGUGGUGAUCACUAUUAUUGGGUCUAAAGGGUCCGUAGCCGGUUUAAUCAGUCUUCUGGGAAAUCUAAUCGCUUAACUAUUAGGCUUCCAGGGGAUACUGUUAGACUUGGGACCGGGAGAGGUAAGAGGUACUGCAGGGGUAGGAGUGAAAUCUUGUAAUCCCUGUGAGACCACCAGUGGCGAAGGCGUCUUACCAGAACGGGUCCGACGGUGAGGGACGAAAGCUGGGGGCACGAACCGGAUUAGAUACCCGGGUAGUCCCAGCUGUAAACGAUGCUCGUUAGGUGUCAGGAACGGUGCGACUGUUUCUGGUGCCGAAGGGAAGCCGUGAAACGAGCCACCUGGGAAGUACGGCCGCAAGGCUGAAACUUAAAGGAAUUGGCGGGGGAGCACUACAACGGGUGGAGCCUGCGGUUUAAUUGGACUCAACGCCGGAAAACUCACCGGGGGCGACAGCAAUAUGUAGGUCAGGUUAAAGGUCUUACCUGAAUCGCUGAGAGGAGGUGCAUGGCCGUCGUCAGUUCGUACUGUGAAGCAUCCUGUUAAGUCAGGCAACGAGCAAGACCCGUGCCCACUGUUACCAGCAUAUCCUUUAUGGAUGAUGGGGACUCUGUGGGGACCGCUGCUGCUAAAGCAGAGGAAGGUGCGGGCUACGGUAGGUCAGUAUGCCCCGAAUCUCCCGGGCUACACGCGGGCUACAAUGGUUGGGACAAUGGGUAUCUACUCCGAAAGGAGUUGGCAAUCUCUUAAACCCAAUCGUAGUUCGAAUUGAGGGCUGUAACUCGCCCUCAUGAAGCUGGAAUCCGUAGUAGUCGCGUUUCAACAUA
This 844-nucleotide ribosomal RNA is filed under the name uncultured archaeon. RNAcentral's name for it is "bacterial SSU rRNA". It matches the Rfam family "Archaeal small subunit ribosomal RNA", at positions 470 to 1312 of the family's 1478-position model. The record is from RNAcentral.